Eptesicus fuscus (big brown bat) is the source of this 103-nucleotide small nuclear RNA. The record is from RefSeq and is a predicted model, not a curated record. NCBI's taxonomy places the organism in Eukaryota, Metazoa, Chordata, Mammalia, Chiroptera, Vespertilionidae.
UCAUGCUCGUUUUGGCAGCACAUACAUUGGAAUGAUACAGAGAAGACUAGUAUGGCCCCUGUGUAAGGAUGGCAUGCAAAUUUAUAAAGCGUUAAAAAAAUCA